Nothoprocta perdicaria is the source of this 582-nucleotide long non-coding RNA. RefSeq lists it as uncharacterized. The record is from RefSeq and is a predicted model, not a curated record. Lineage: Eukaryota; Metazoa; Chordata; Aves; Tinamiformes; Tinamidae. The transcript is spliced from 3 exons.
GAUACUCUGAGUGGACUGGAGACUAAUCCAGAGAUAGUAGAACAGUCUUUCAAUUUAGAGGAUGAGAACAAAGCUAAAACAAACACUGUUUAAUGUACAGACUCUUAUUUCCAUGGAUAAGACAAGGCUUAGCUCUUAAACAAAGCCUAUUUGUCAAUGCCCUUACACUUGGGAGGAAGRCAGUGGUAAUGUUGUUCAUGCCUCUUGUAUUACAAGCUUUCAGCUAUCUCUGUUGGAAUACAUCCAUAAGGUUUCAGUACUGUGAAGAAAGCGUAUAUUCUCAGAACUAAAUAAACUGGCCUUUUCAGUCAGGCUGGCAAGCAUAGGCUGGCAGGCUUCGAAAGGACUUGGGACUCAUUCUUCAAAUUUUGGAAGACGCAGCUGGACAAACAGCAAAAUUUACAAAGGACACAAUGGCACAUGGAAAACAGAGAAACCAAAUAAAGUGGAUGAACAAGUGAGGCAAAGGUGUUGUGUUCUGAUAAUGCAUAUCCUUUACAAGUAUGGGCAAAUUAUUUGCUUUGCAUACAAAUUGAGCAUAAAGCUGAAUCCACAUGGAAAAAAGGAAAGAACUCUUCUUUA